This 197-nucleotide unclassified non-coding RNA is filed under the name uncultured fungus. Its description in RNAcentral is "partial contains 18S rRNA, ITS1, 5.8S rRNA, ITS2 and 28S rRNA". The record is from RNAcentral. Lineage: Eukaryota; Fungi.
AAGGAUCAUUACCGAGUUUACAACUCCCAAACCCAUGUGAACAUACCUAUCGUUGCUUCGGCGGGAUCGCCCCGGGCGCCUUGUGUGCCCCGGAUCCAGGCACCCGCCGGGGGACCUUAACUCUUGUUUUAUUUAGAAUCUUCUGAGUAGUUUUUACAAAUAAAUAAAAACUUUCAACAACGGAUCUCUUGGUUCUG